CCAAUAGCGUAUAUUAAAGUUGUUGCAGUUAAAAAGCUCGUAGUUGAAUUUCGGGGUUAGUAGGUUGGUCAUGCCUCUGGUAUGUACUGGGUUCACUGAUUCCUCCUUCCUGAUGAGCCGUAAUGCCAUUAAUUUGGUGUUGCGGGGAAUCUGGACUGUUACUUUGAAAAAAUUAGAGGGUUUAAAGCAAGCUAACGCUUGAAUACAUUAGCAUGGAAUAAUGAAAUAGGACGUUCGAUCCUAUUUUGUUGGUUUCUAGGAUUGACGUAAUGAUUAAUAGGGAUAGUUGUGGGCAUUAGUAUUCAAUUGUCAGAGGUGAAAUUCUUGGAUUUAUUGAAGACUAACUACUUCGAAAGCAUUUGCCAAGGAUGUUUUCAUUAAUCAAGAACGAAAGUUAGGGGAUCGAAGACGAUCAUAUACCGUCGUAGUCUUAACCAUAAACUAUGCCGACUAGGGAUCGGAUGAUGUUAAUUUUUUAAUGACUCAUUCGGCGCCUUACG
Molecule: ribosomal RNA, 500 nt
Filed under: uncultured Glomeromycotina
Lineage: Eukaryota; Fungi; Glomeromycota
Description: partial small subunit ribosomal RNA
Rfam family: Eukaryotic small subunit ribosomal RNA
Source: RNAcentral